Long non-coding RNA from Vigna angularis (adzuki bean), 398 nucleotides. RefSeq lists it as uncharacterized. The record is from RefSeq and is a predicted model, not a curated record. The transcript is spliced from 2 exons. Lineage: Eukaryota; Viridiplantae; Streptophyta; Magnoliopsida; Fabales; Fabaceae.
UGCACUAAACCAAUGGCUUCAAAUAGAAUCUCUUUUCUUUGGGUUAUUGUCUUCUUUCUUUGUGUGUUCAUUUCUUGUGCUAGGGCAACAUCACUCGUUCUAGCUGGUGCUUCUAGCCAUGCAAGUUCAUAUGAAAAAGUUCAGUACAGAAGGCUACUUGGUCAACCACAAAACGCAGAUCCUUGUUGUCACAAUUAUGAUGUAUGAUGCUGUUGUUCUGUUGCAGUUCGAAGAAUAUAAGUGCAAAAAAAAACAUGAAUUAUAUAUAUCAUGCUUAUUUGUAACUCGUUCAAAUUAAUGUUGUGUUCCAGUAUUGGUUUUGCGUAUAUAUUAGUGUGUGGAAUAAUGUUUAAGGUAUUUAUGAUCUCUAAUCUUGUUUAAAUGAAAACAAUUAUAUC